Molecule: long non-coding RNA, 670 nt
Organism: Brachypodium distachyon (stiff brome)
Lineage: Eukaryota; Viridiplantae; Streptophyta; Magnoliopsida; Poales; Poaceae
Exons: 3
Source: RefSeq, a predicted model, not a curated record
AUGACCAGUCGACUGGUUUCUGUGCCAAAGGGUGUGCUGAUAUUGUGUACUCCGGGACUUCCCUGCUGGCCGGACCAAUAUGUAUCUGUAUCUUGAAAUCAAGGAUCCAUUUAUUCUAUCAAUCUGGUGCUAUAUUUUCGUGAUCAUGGACACUUGACUCAGAUUAAUUAUUAGCAUCGAGAUAAUGCUAGAUAGUGUUUGGAGAAAGGCCUGCAAGUAUUAUUUUUUUAAGGAAAAUGCUCGCAAAUGUUGAUAACAUUACAACUAAUGCCAAUAUUCCAUGAUAAUAAUCGUAUCUUUGUGCUGUUUCCAGGCUAUAGUUGCUCAGGUGAACCAUGCAAUCGGUGCCGAGAGAAUUAUCAACACAGAAUGUAAAGAAGAGGUGAGCCAGUACGGAGAGAUGACCCUUCACUUGUUAUUGGUACAGACAAAGCCACAGAAAGUGUGCAGUCUUUGAUGUAACGGAAUUGAAUCUGUUGUGGGUAAAAAAAAUGUCGGCUCGGUCGUUAUUUGCACAGCCUGUGAGAUGGCCAUUGUGUGGAUAGAGAACCAGCUUCGUGAAACAAAACGAAGGAGCUGAUACUGCAAUAUGUUAACCAGGUCACUACUACCUUUGUGAUUUGCUCUGACCUUUCUCUGAUGUAAUUCUAAAAAAGAGUUAGUUGGUGAC